RNAcentral lists this ribosomal RNA (253 nucleotides) under uncultured bacterium. Its description in RNAcentral is "partial 16S ribosomal RNA". It matches the Rfam family "Bacterial small subunit ribosomal RNA", at positions 524 to 776 of the family's 1533-position model. The record is from RNAcentral.
UACGUAGGGUGCAAGCGUUGUCCGGAAUUAUUGGGCGUAAAGAGCUCGUAGGCGGUUUGUCGCGUCUGCUGUGAAAUCCCGAGGCUCAACCUCGGGCCUGCAGUGGGUACGGGCAGACUAGAGUGCGGUAGGGGAGAUUGGAAUUCCUGGUGUAGCGGUGGAAUGCGCAGAUAUCAGGAGGAACACCGAUGGCGAAGGCAGAUCUCUGGGCCACUACUGACGCUGAGAAGCGAAAGCAUGGGGAGCGAACAGG